This 224-nucleotide long non-coding RNA is filed under the name Vigna radiata. Its description in RNAcentral is "long non-coding RNA (VRAD_LNC014143)". Lineage: Eukaryota; Viridiplantae; Streptophyta; Magnoliopsida; Fabales; Fabaceae. The record is from RNAcentral.
GAGCUAUCCCUUCAAGAAACAUCACAUUCCAUUCUCCUUGCAAGAAGUGUAAAAACUCUCCUUAUCCAGCACGUGAAUCAAUCCUUGGUGCCUUCAAAAGCAAAAUGAAUCUUCAUUCCUCACGAAAAACCGUGAGCUCCUCUCAUUGGACGUUCUAGCAAAACCCCAAAAUGAGAGUGACGACUCUGUUUUUUAUCUCCAAAAAUGCUGAGACCAUGUUCCCC